AUCAUUUUUUGGCCUUUUGGCUAAGAUCAAGUGUGAUAUUCUUAUUAGUUUAAUAUCUGAUACAUUAAAAAAUUUGAUACUAAAAACAAUUCCCCUCUGUGCUUCAACUACA
Molecule: small nuclear RNA, 112 nt
Filed under: Macaca mulatta (Rhesus monkey)
Lineage: Eukaryota; Metazoa; Chordata; Mammalia; Primates; Cercopithecidae
Description: U2 spliceosomal RNA (ENSMMUG00000053708.1)
Rfam family: U2 spliceosomal RNA (bases 1-97)
About the family: U2 is a small nuclear RNA (snRNA) component of the spliceosome (involved in pre-mRNA splicing).
Source: RNAcentral